CCUAAAUCCAACGAACCAAUUUUCGUCGCAAUCUGACACUCCUACGUCGCGUACGAGCCGAAACACCGACGGUCGACGCAAAAAUUCUGCAAAAAUAGCAUCCUUGAGCUUGAAGUAGUAAGGACUUGCAACGGUUGAAGGAAUUUGAUGAACACCUCACCUCAACCUCUAUCCGAACUCCGGCGCGACGUCGAGAACAGCGAAAAUCCACGCUCGCCCGGCCUCCUCGCAGCGCUACAACAACGAAGACACGCCCGAAAGGCCCCGCGGCGCGACGUCGGCGAAACUCGAACUCCACCCGAGCUCCUCCACGAUCGGACCAAGCUAGAGAGAGAGAGGAGAAGAAGCCAGAGAAAACUCUCUCUCUCUCUGCUCUACACGUCUAAAUAGAGAGGGAGGGAAUGGGUGACACAAACGAGGUGGACAAAGACCA
Molecule: long non-coding RNA, 433 nt
Filed under: Ananas comosus (pineapple)
Lineage: Eukaryota; Viridiplantae; Streptophyta; Magnoliopsida; Poales; Bromeliaceae
Description: long non-coding RNA (ACOM_LNC025827)
Source: RNAcentral